AUGUACUGCUCGGAUGCUUCAGUCAGCGCUCGAGGGAACUCGGGACUAGAGCUAGAGGGAGCUGAGAGGAAGAAGGGGAAAAUGGGCUCCAGUAGGGUUGGUACAGUUUCCCUUGUUCUUCUACUGCUCAUCGUCGUUUCGGUUUGCGCCGCAGGAGGCAGGGGGCUGGCCGAAGAAAAGAUUCAGAAGGAACAUCACAACGCUGUGCACAAGGAGGGAACGACAGCUCCAGGCAGCCAUCCAAGGAACCUCAUGGUGAAGACGAACGACUACGGCCGCUACGACCCGACUCCAGCGUUCUCCAGGCCUCGCUUCAAGCCUAUACCUCACUGA
Molecule: ribosomal RNA, 333 nt
Filed under: Triticum aestivum (bread wheat)
Lineage: Eukaryota; Viridiplantae; Streptophyta; Magnoliopsida; Poales; Poaceae
Description: partial small subunit ribosomal RNA
Source: RNAcentral